Molecule: ribosomal RNA, 468 nt
Filed under: uncultured bacterium
Lineage: Bacteria
Description: partial 16S ribosomal RNA
Rfam family: Bacterial small subunit ribosomal RNA
Source: RNAcentral
GACGAACGCUGGCGGCGUGCUUAACACAUGCAAGUCGAACGGAAAGGCCCUGCUUUUGUGGGGUGCUCGAGUGGCGAACGGGUGAGUAACACGUGAGUAACCUGCCCUUGACUUUGGGAUAACUUCAGGAAACUGGGGCUAAUACCGGAUAGGAGCUCCUGCUGCAUGGUGGGGGUUGGAAAGUUUCGGCGGUUGGGGAUGGACUCGCGGCUUAUCAGCUUGUUGGUGGGGUAGGGGCUUACCAAGGCUUUGACGGGUAGCCGGCCUGAGAGGGUGACCGGCCACAUUGGGACUGAGAUACGGCCCAGACUCCUACGGGAGGCAGCAGUGGGGAAUAUUGCACAAUGGGCGGAAGCCUGAUGCAGCAACGCCGCGUGCGGGAUGACGGCCUUCGGGUUGUAAACCGCUUCCGCCUGUGACGAAGCGUGAGUGACGGUAAUGGGUAAAGAAGCACCGGCUAACUACGUG